Molecule: ribosomal RNA, 424 nt
Filed under: uncultured prokaryote
Description: bacterial SSU rRNA
Rfam family: Bacterial small subunit ribosomal RNA
Source: RNAcentral
UGGGGAAUAUUGGACAAUGGGCGCAAGCCUGAUCCAGCAAUGCCGCGUGAGUGAUGAAGGCCUUAGGGUUGUAAAGCUCUUUUACCAGGGAUGAUAAUGACAGUACCUGGAGAAUAAGCUCCGGCUAACUCCGUGCCAGCAGCCGCGGUAAUACGGAGGGAGCUAGCGUUGUUCGGAAUUACUGGGCGUAAAGCGCGCGUAGGCGGCUUAUCAAGUCAGGGGUGAAAUCCCGGGGCUCAACCCCGGAACUGCCCUUGAAACUGGUUGGCUAGAAUCCUGGAGAGGCGAGUGGAAUUCCGAGUGUAGAGGUGAAAUUCGUAGAUAUUCGGAAGAACACCAGUGGCGAAGGCGACUCGCUGGACAGGUAUUGACGCUGAGGUGCGAAAGCGUGGGGAGCAAACAGGAUUAGAUACCCCCGUAGUCC